AAACGACUCUCGACAACGGAUAUCUCGGCUCUCGCAUCGGUGAAUUGCAGAAUCCCGUGAAUCAUCGAGUCUUUGAACGCAAGUUGCGCCCGAAGCCUUUUGGUUGAGGGCACGUCUGCCUGGGCGUCACG
Molecule: ribosomal RNA, 131 nt
Filed under: Nothofagus nitida
Lineage: Eukaryota; Viridiplantae; Streptophyta; Magnoliopsida; Fagales; Nothofagaceae
Description: 5.8S ribosomal RNA
Rfam family: 5.8S ribosomal RNA
About the family: 5.8S ribosomal RNA (5.8S rRNA) is a component of the large subunit of the eukaryotic ribosome. It is transcribed by RNA polymerase I as part of the 45S precursor that also contains 18S and 28S rRNA. Functionally, it is thought that 5.8S rRNA may be involved in ribosome translocation.
Source: RNAcentral